Oncorhynchus tshawytscha (Chinook salmon) is the source of this 937-nucleotide long non-coding RNA. The record is from Ensembl. NCBI's taxonomy places the organism in Eukaryota, Metazoa, Chordata, Actinopteri, Salmoniformes, Salmonidae.
GAGACUUGUAGAUGCCAACACCUUAUUGAGACUUGUUGAUCAGCCUGACUAACCCAACACCUUAUUGAGACUUGUUGAUCAGCCUGACUAACCCAACACCUUAUUGAGACUUGUUGAUCAGCCUGACUAACCCAACACCUUAUUGAGACUUGUUGAUCCCAACACCUUAUUGAGACUUGCCGAUCAGCCUGACUAACCCAACACCUUAUUGAGACUUGUUGAUCCCAACACCUUAUUGAGACUUGUUGAUCAGCCUGACUAACCCAACACCUUAUUGAGGCUUGUUGAUCCCAACACCUUAUUGAGACUUGUUGAUCAGCCUGACUAACCCAACACCUUAUUGAGACUUGUUGAUCCCAACACCUUAUUGAGACUUGCUGAUCAGUCUGACUAACCCAAUAGCGUAUGGCUCAAGAGGUUCAAUAAUAUAAUAACACCUACUAACCAACAGAUAAAGUGCCAACAAGGAAAAAGUGGUCUCUGCUGAACGCAGAAGGCUACAGUCAAAUUAUCCUAUAUUUGGCCCAAAUGACACCCUGUUCCCUAUAAAGUGCACUACUUUUGAACUGGUCAUUUAGGGUGCCAUUUGGGAUUUAGCCAGAAGGAUAUAAUAAUGUGUAUUACAUUCAUUUAAAUAAAUUUAACUAAAGACAACAGGUCUCUCCCUAGACUAGUUACUGGUUACAGACAACAUGUCUCUCCCUAGACUAGUUACUGGUUACAGACAACAGGUCUCUCCCUAGACUAGUUAUAGGUUACAGACAACAGGUCUCUCCCUAGACUAGUUACUGGUUACAGACAACAGGUCUCUCCCUAGACUAGUUACUGGUUACAGACAACAGGUCUCUCCCUAGACUAGUUAUAGGUUACAGACAACAGGUCUCUCCCUAGACUAGUUAUAGGUUACAGACAACAGGUCUCUCCCUAGACUAGUUAC